GAUGAAGAACGUAGUGAAAUGCGAUAAUUAAUGUGAAUUGCAGAAUUCAGUGAAUCAUCGAGUCUUUGAACGCACAUUGCGCCCCCUGGUAUUCCGGGGGGCAUGCCUGUCCGAGCGUCAUUGCUGCCCUCAAGCACGGCUUGUGUGUUGGGCUCCGUCCCCCCGGGGACGGGCCCGAAAGGCAGCGGCGGCACCGAGUCCGGUCCUCGAGCGUAUGGGGCUUUGUCACCCGCUCUGUAGGCCCGGCCGGCGCCAGCCGACAACCCAUCAUCCUUUUCAGGUUGACCUCGGAUCAGGUAGGGAUACCCGCUGAACUUAAGCAUAUCAAUAAGCGGAGGA
RNAcentral lists this unclassified non-coding RNA (339 nucleotides) under soil metagenome. Its description in RNAcentral is "partial contains 5.8S ribosomal RNA, internal transcribed spacer 2, and large subunit ribosomal RNA". The stretch from base 1 to 120 matches the Rfam family "5.8S ribosomal RNA", at positions 35 to 154 of the family's 154-position model. The record is from RNAcentral.